Molecule: ribosomal RNA, 429 nt
Filed under: uncultured bacterium
Lineage: Bacteria
Description: bacterial SSU rRNA
Rfam family: Bacterial small subunit ribosomal RNA
Source: RNAcentral
UAGGGAAUCUUCGGCAAUGGACGAAAGUCUGACCGAGCAACGCCGCGUGAGCGAUGAAGGCCUUCGGGUCGUAAAGCUCUGUUGUCAGGGAAGAACAAGUACCGGAGUAACUGCCGGUACCUUGACGGUACCUGACCAGAAAGCCACGGCUAACUACGUGCCAGCAGCCGCGGUAAUACGUAGGUGGCAAGCGUUGUCCGGAAUUAUUGGGCGUAAAGCGCGCGCAGGCGGUUCUUUAAGUCUGAUGUGAAAGCCCACGGCUCAACCGUGGAGGGUCAUUGGAAACUGGGGAACUUGAGUGCAGGAGAGAAAAGUGGAAUUCCACGUGUAGCGGUGAAAUGCGUAGAGAUGUGGAGGAACACCAGUGGCGAAGGCGGCUUUUUGGCCUGUAACUGACGCUGAGGCGCGAAAGCGUGGGGAGCAAACAGG